UGGCUCAGAUUGAACGCUGGCGGCAGGCCUUACACAUGCAAGUCGAGCGGUAACAUUCUAGCUUGCUAGAAGAUGACGAGCGGCGGACGGGUGAGUAAUGCUUGGGAACAUGCCUUUAGGUGGGGGACAACAGUUGGAAACGACUGCUAAUACCGCAUAAUGUCUACGGACCAAAGUGGGGGACCUUCGGGCCUCACGCCUAAAGAUUGGCCCAAGUGGGAUUAGCUAGUUGGUGAGGUAAUGGCUCACCAAGGCGACGAUCCCUAGCUGGUUUGAGAGGAUGAUCAGCCACACUGGGACUGAGACACGGCCCAGACUCCUACGGGAGGCAGCAGUGGGGAAUAUUGCACAAUGGGCGCAAGCCUGAUGCAGCCAUGCCGCGUGUGUGAAGAAGGCCUUCGGGUUGUAAAGCACUUUCAGUAAGGAGGAAAGGUUGGAUGUUAAUAGCAUUCAGCUGUGACGUUACUACAG
This 471-nucleotide ribosomal RNA is filed under the name marine sediment bacterium ISA-2734. RNAcentral describes it as "bacterial SSU rRNA". It matches the Rfam family "Bacterial small subunit ribosomal RNA", at positions 20 to 484 of the family's 1533-position model. The record is from RNAcentral.